Molecule: long non-coding RNA, 261 nt
Filed under: Brassica napus (rape)
Lineage: Eukaryota; Viridiplantae; Streptophyta; Magnoliopsida; Brassicales; Brassicaceae
Description: long non-coding RNA (BNAP_LNC016065)
Source: RNAcentral
AAUUAUGUAAGAUGAAUACACUUUGUUCUGUGGAAAUUAUAUCAAUAUUUAUCUUACGUAUUUGAAUAUUUUGCUGAUCAUAGGAUAUUACCAUUGUUCUGUAGAAAUUAUAUUAAUGCCAUUUUUCUUUCAAAAAAGGAUAUUAAUAUUACGUUUUUGAUAUUACGUAAGAUAGUAAUAUUUCUUUCAAAAAAGAUAUUAAUAUUGGUGCUAUAUUUAUCUUACGUAUUUGAUAUUUUGCUGCUCAUAGGUUGAGAAUAA